This 490-nucleotide ribosomal RNA is filed under the name fungal sp. E15904B. Its description in RNAcentral is "eukaryotic LSU rRNA". The stretch from base 141 to 294 matches the Rfam family "5.8S ribosomal RNA". The record is from RNAcentral. Lineage: Eukaryota; Fungi.
AAACCCAUGUGAACAUACCUAUUGUUGCUUCGGCGGGAUUGCCCCGGGCGCCUCGUGUGCCCCGGAUCAGGCGCCCGCCUAGGAAACUCAACUCUUGUUUUAUUUUGGAAUCUUCUGAGUAGUUUUUACAAAUAAAUAAAAACUUUCAACAACGGAUCUCUUGGUUCUGGCAUCGAUGAAGAACGCAGCGAAAUGCGAUAAGUAAUGUGAAUUGCAGAAUUCAGUGAAUCAUCGAAUCUUUGAACGCACAUUGCGCCCGCCAGUAUUCUGGCGGGCAUGCCUGUCUGAGCGUCAUUUCAACCCUCAUGCCCCUAGGGCGUGGUGUUGGGGAUCGGCCAAAGCCCGCGAGGGACGGCCGGCCCCUAAAUCUAGUGGCGGACCCGUCGUGGCCUCCUCUGCGAAGUAGUGAUAUUCCGCAUCGGAGAGCGAUGAGCCCCUGCCGUUAAACCCCCAACUUUCUAAGGUUGACCUCAGAUCAGGUAGGAAUACC